This 440-nucleotide ribosomal RNA is filed under the name uncultured bacterium. RNAcentral's name for it is "partial 16S ribosomal RNA". It matches the Rfam family "Bacterial small subunit ribosomal RNA", at positions 338 to 795 of the family's 1533-position model. The record is from RNAcentral.
CCUACGGGAGGCAGCAGUGGGGGAUAUUGCACAAUGGGGGAAACCCUGAUGCAGCGACGCCGCGUGUGGGAAGACGGUCCUCUGGAUUGUAAACCACUGUCCUCAGGGACUAAGAUGACGUUACCUGGGUAGGAAGCUCCUGCUAACUACGUGCCAGCAGCCGCGGUAAUCCGUCGGGAGCGAGCGUUGUCCGGAAUUACUGGGUGUAAAGGGAGCGUAGGCGGGGAUGCAAGUUGGGUGUCAAAACUACCGGCUAAACUGGUAGUCGCACUCAAAACUGUAGCUCUUGAGUGAAGUAGAGGCAGGCGGAAUUCGUGGUGUAGCGGUGAAAUGCGUAGAUAUUAGGAGGAACACCAGUGGCGAAGGCGGCCUGCUGGGCUUUUACUGACGCUGAGGCUCGAAAGUGUGGGGAGCAAACAGGAUUAGAUACCCUGGUAGUC